Molecule: ribosomal RNA, 450 nt
Filed under: uncultured bacterium
Lineage: Bacteria
Description: partial 16S ribosomal RNA
Rfam family: Bacterial small subunit ribosomal RNA
Source: RNAcentral
GUGGGGAAUUUUGGACAAUGGGCGCAAGCCUGAUCCAGCAAUGCCGCGUGCAGGAAGAAGGCCUUCGGGUUGUAAACUGCUUUUGUACGGAACGAAACGGCUCUGGUUAAUACCCGGGGCUAAUGACGGUACCGUAAGAAUAAGCACCGGCUAACUACGUGCCAGCAGCCGCGGUAAUACGUAGGGUGCAAGCGGUAAUCGGAAUUACUGGGCGUAAAGCGUGCGCAGGCGGGUUUGUAAGACAGGCGUGAAAUCCCCGGGCGCAACCUGGGAAUGGCGCUUGUGACUGCAAAGCUGGAUCGCGGCAGAGGGGGAUGGAAUUCCGAGUGUAGCAGUGAAAUGCGUAGAUAUGCGGAGGAACACCGAUGGCGAAGGCAAUCCCCUGGGCCUGCACUGACGCUCAUGCACGAAAGCGUGGGGAGCAAACAGGAUUAGAAACCCCGGUAGUCC